RNAcentral lists this ribosomal RNA (497 nucleotides) under uncultured bacterium. RNAcentral's name for it is "partial 16S ribosomal RNA". It matches the Rfam family "Bacterial small subunit ribosomal RNA", at positions 28 to 507 of the family's 1533-position model. The record is from RNAcentral.
GAUGAACGCUGGCGGCGUGCCUAAUACAUGCAAGUCGAGCGAACAGACGAGGAGCUUGCUCCUCUGACGUUAGCGGCGGACGUGUGAGUAACACGUGGAUAACCUACCUAUAAGACUGGUAUAACUUCGGGAAACCGGAGCUAAUACCGGAUAAUAUAUUGAACCGCAUGGUUCAAUAGUGAAAGACGGUUUUGCUGUCACUUAUAGCUGGAUCCGCGCCGCAUUAGCUAGUUGGUAAGGUAACGGCUUACCAAGGCGACGAUGCGUAGCCGACCUGAGAGGGUGAUCGGCCACACUGGAACUGAGACACGGUCCAGACUCCUACGGGAGGCAGCAGUAGGGAAUCUUCCGCAAUGGGCGAAAGCCUGACGGAGCAACGCCGCGUGAGUGAUGAAGGUCUUCGGAUCGUAAAACUCUGUUAUUAGGGAAGAACAAAUGUGUAAGUAACUAUGCACGUCUUGACGGUACCUAAUCAGAAAGCAACGGCUAACUACGUG